GUUUUCUUAUUUUGCUUCAGCCAUGAUAUGAGCUCCCUCCCUACUCCGGUUUAACUUCUUAAUAGUGGUAUUUGGGUUUUGUUUCUAUUAAUCAUAGAGCUUUAAGGAGAGGGAAAUAUGCAAUAGAUCGGUUACUAAGAGAGCUGGUGUGUGGAAACUCUUUUGGGUUUCUAGAUUUCUGGGUUCUAGAAAUUAUUACUGUUUGGUGGGAGAAGUUCAUACAUGUUUACGGUGCCGAUAUUUCCAAAGUUAGUCUUCUUUCAAUUGGAAGUGUUCCCUAAGGCUAUUGGAGAUUGAGGGGGUGGUGAGUUCUACCGCCUUACUUUCUUGGUCAAGCAAGUGAUGCUACUUUUAGAGGAGACAAGAGAUUAGCAGCCGUUUGUGGUUGAAUCCUAAUGGCCCUUAGGUUGGAGCAACUUUCUAUUCUUUUGGAUGAUGUUAGUUUUCCAUUCGCUGCUGACAGCCCAGCAAAAAGCAGAGGCUGAGCGGCAACUUGAUCCUCUUUUCCUCAUCCAAGUUUUCUAGUUAGGAGUUUAAAUUAAGAUAUCUGUAUUGGGUUGUAGUUAUUUUAUGUUGGAUUUAGGCCUUUUGUUUUUUUUGUCCCUAUUUUUAAGCCCUUUAAUGCAUGUUGCUUUCUGAGCCUCGUU
Molecule: unclassified non-coding RNA, 647 nt
Filed under: Hevea brasiliensis (rubber tree)
Lineage: Eukaryota; Viridiplantae; Streptophyta; Magnoliopsida; Malpighiales; Euphorbiaceae
Source: RNAcentral